This 203-nucleotide long non-coding RNA is filed under the name Mytilus galloprovincialis (Mediterranean mussel). The record is from RNAcentral. Lineage: Eukaryota; Metazoa; Mollusca; Bivalvia; Mytilida; Mytilidae.
GUAUUUGUUUACUUUUAACACGUGUGUUUAAAUCAAAACAUGUUUAUGUUUAUUUUGAUUGGACCAUCAGUAAGUUAUUACCGGUUUAAGUUAUAUCAAUCAUGAUAACUUCAUGCUAGAAUUUUAGCGCUAAAAUUAUAUAAGAUAUCUAGAAUUGUCAUUCGAGGUUCGCCUAUCCGACAGAAAGGUUCGUUUCCCACCCA